Molecule: long non-coding RNA, 679 nt
Organism: Pomacea canaliculata
Lineage: Eukaryota; Metazoa; Mollusca; Gastropoda; Architaenioglossa; Ampullariidae
Exons: 3
Source: RefSeq, a predicted model, not a curated record
UAGAAAAGUAAUGUCAGGUUAACAUAAUAAUAUCAGCCUGUAUAUUAAGGUCAUUUUGCAAACAUUUUACCAGGAACAAGGCAAGAUUUCUUUAAAUACUCUGUUGCGUUCAUGAACAUGAUUAAAAAGUAUGUCUUCCUGUUGAAAAAUCAUUUUAGAAGUUUUGCAAUUCUUUCAGGAAUGUGACAGAAGUGUCUGAAGACAUUAAGUCGCCAAUGAAAUACAUUUCUGUAACACUGGCUCUGCCACUUUGUCAGGCCGGUGUAUUAGUCCUACAUUCCUCUGUACUUUCAAGUGUGUUGGCAAGUCUGUCUGUGGUCAUAAACUGUUCAAAGUAUUCAGAAAGCAUUCACUUACCCUUCUGGAGCUUGUACGGGACUGCAGUAAGAAAAGACAAAUUUACAAAUCUCAGUGAUGUUUGCCAGUCCUUGCCAAAUGACAAGUGCUUGACACCAGAGGACAGAGCUUUCUGUAAUCAAGGCUACAAGGGUGAAAUUCUUGAAAGUCCAGUUUCUCGACGACUGCCUUGUGCCAUGCAAGAUGUUUGUUCACACUUCAAGGGAAAAGGUAUGAGUUUAUAUCAUGCUGCCUGCAUAAAGAAUACGAGCUCUGUGGUGGAAUUCACAACAUCUACAUCUGCUGCUGCAUGGCUUUGCCUGAAAACGUUUGAAAAGUUAGU